CGAAACAUCAGCUGCAACAAAACAACUUCAAGUUUUGCAAAUUCCAUCUCCAAAUCUUACACAAAUCUUCAUCCAAUUCACACCCAACUUAAACCACACGUGGCUUAACACUUAAGGAUCAUUUGAGCUGCAAAGGGGAGCUGAAAAUCACGGUUUUACUGGAGUAAAGGGGGGGCCGAAAUUCUGGUUGAACAUCAAACCAAAGUAGGCGCACAUGAGGACCCACAAAAGGAUCCCACGGUGGACGCUUAAACUUCGAGUGGCCUUUUCUUCUCGUUUUACUUGGAAUGGAAAUGGAGUUAAUGCGGAGAGAUCUCUUUUUGGAUAUAUUUUGUUUUAGGGUUUCAAGUGUAUUUUGGCUUGACCCCUUUAUGAUUGUACUUUUGGAAGUUUAAUGUAUCAUUCGGAUAUAUGUGAUGUAUAUUUUGGAAUUUAAGUUGUAUUAUGAACGCCCGACGUGCGGGUUGGAUAAUGGAUGGAUAUUGUUAAGCAUGAACGCUU
Molecule: long non-coding RNA, 501 nt
Organism: Coffea eugenioides
Lineage: Eukaryota; Viridiplantae; Streptophyta; Magnoliopsida; Gentianales; Rubiaceae
Exons: 3
Source: RefSeq, a predicted model, not a curated record